GACGAACGCUGGCGGCGUGCUUAACACAUGCAAGUCGAACGGAAAGGCCCUGCUUUUGUGGGGUGCUCGUGUGGCGAACGGGUGAGUAACACGUGAGUAUCCCGCCCUUGACUGUGGGAUAACUUCAGGAAACUGGGGCUAAUACCGGAUAUGAGCUCCUGCUGCAUGGUGUUGGUUGGAAAGUUUCGGCGGUUGGGGCUGGACUCGCGGCUUACCAGCUUGUUGGGCGGGUAGUGGCUUACCAAGGCUUUGACGGGUAGCCGGCAUGAGCGGGUGACCGGGGACAAUGGGACUGCGAUACGGCCCAGACGCGUACGGGAGGCAGCAGGGGGGAAUAUGGCAGAAUGGGCGGGAGCCUGAUGCGGCAACGCCGCGUGCGGGAUGACGGCCUUCGGGUGGUAAACCGCUGUCGCAUGUGACGAAGCGGGAGUGACGGUAAUGGGUAAAGAAGCACCGGCUAACUACGUG
This 468-nucleotide ribosomal RNA is filed under the name uncultured bacterium. RNAcentral's name for it is "partial 16S ribosomal RNA". It matches the Rfam family "Bacterial small subunit ribosomal RNA", at positions 28 to 507 of the family's 1533-position model. The record is from RNAcentral.